GCCUCCAUAGCUCAGUUAGGUAGAGCACCCGGCUGUUAACCGGGCGGUCGCAUGUUCGAUAUUCUGGGGCCUUAUAGCCACUAACUGGUUUACAGCCAGAACAAAACCCAUGCUGGAGGCG
This 121-nucleotide transfer RNA is filed under the name Promethearchaeota archaeon. RNAcentral describes it as "Candidatus Lokiarchaeota archaeon (microbial mat metagenome) tRNA-Asn". It matches the Rfam family "tRNA". From Rfam's summary of the family: Transfer RNA (tRNA) molecules are approximately 80 nucleotides in length. Their secondary structure includes four short double-helical elements and three loops (D, anti-codon, and T loops). Further hydrogen bonds mediate the characteristic L-shaped molecular structure. tRNAs have two regions of fundamental functional importance: the anti-codon, which is responsible for specific mRNA codon recognition, and the 3' end, to which the tRNAs corresponding amino acid is attached (by aminoacyl-tRNA synthetases). tRNAs cope with the degeneracy of the genetic code in two manners: having more than one tRNA (with a specific anti-codon) for a particular amino acid; and 'wobble' base-pairing, i.e. permitting non-standard base-pairing at the 3rd anti-codon position. Lineage: Archaea; Promethearchaeati; Promethearchaeota. The record is from RNAcentral.